RNAcentral lists this microRNA precursor (97 nucleotides) under Cajanus cajan (pigeon pea). RNAcentral describes it as "miRNA gene-KK1_050429". The record is from RNAcentral. Lineage: Eukaryota; Viridiplantae; Streptophyta; Magnoliopsida; Fabales; Fabaceae.
UUAUAAUUUUUUAAUUUAUUUUUAUUAAGAAUAUUUCAACCUAAAUUUUAAAAAUAAAAAAUUAUUUUUUAAUUAAACUAAUUCGAAUGAUUUUUUU